CUUGGCGUCUGGCCUGACCGCAGUCCCAUUUUGGAGAUCUCUGGUCUGCAGUUUUACAUACUUGGGAUUGAAAGCAAAAGUUAAACGUUUAUGGAUGAGAAGACGCCAUUUUAGAGACUCAAAAAGCUUUCACAAAUGUUACUUAAAGAUGAUGAUAAUUUCACUAGUAAAUCAAUAGGAGCUGUGUUUACUUGACCAUCACACACAUAGUUUCCCUAAAUAAGAUGAACUUCUCACAUGGUGGUUGAAGUGAAAAGGCUAGGUAUUAGUUUCUCAUUAUGAAGGACAGACAGAAAGAUGCAUCUGAAAUGAUGCAAAAUUCUCAGAAAACACCAUCUCCUGAUCCCAGCUGUGUGUCUCUGAAGAGUGACAGAUCAAUGCAUCAUCUUCCUCCCGACCUCAGUGAUGGAGCAGUGACCUCUGACCCCAGGUGAGACACUGUAUAUUACAGACAAUAACCUGAUUUCACCUGCUAUAUUGAAAUUUCAAAUGAUGAUCAGGUGGGAAAACCUCUGAAAUAAACCAAGCAAUGUGAUAGUCAGGAGAUAAAGACAAGUUCAGAGUUUGCACCAUUAUAGUUAUU
Molecule: long non-coding RNA, 583 nt
Organism: Labeo rohita (rohu)
Lineage: Eukaryota; Metazoa; Chordata; Actinopteri; Cypriniformes; Cyprinidae
Exons: 3
Source: RefSeq, a predicted model, not a curated record